Molecule: long non-coding RNA, 226 nt
Organism: Eptesicus fuscus (big brown bat)
Lineage: Eukaryota; Metazoa; Chordata; Mammalia; Chiroptera; Vespertilionidae
Exons: 3
Source: RefSeq, a predicted model, not a curated record
UUUCCACGAGAGUCGCCAAUGAACAAAACAAACGAUCUGCAGUGGAGUUUACCUGGCAUGACACAGAGUGACACAGCAGCUAACUACAUCAUGUGAGAACAGAAAAUUCUAUAGAGUGCAAUAGGCUUCCUGGAAUAGACCUGUGAGUGUACCCAGCGAAAGUACGAUCACCCUGGUAGACACAGCGCAGCAGCCUCACAGAAAGCAAAGAGGGGAGUCUGACAAC